UACGAAGGGGGCUAGCGUUGCUCGGAAUCACUGGGCGUAAAGGGCGCGUAGGCGGCCAUUUAAGUCGGGGGUGAAAGCCUGUGGCUCAACCACAGAAUUGCCUUCGAUACUGGAUGGCUUGAGACCGGAAGAGGUAAGUGAACUGCGAGUGUAGAGGUGAAAUUCGUAGAUAUUCGCAAGAACACCAGUGGCGAAGGCGGCUUACUGGUCCGGAUCUGACGCUGAGGCGCGAAAGCGUGGGGAGCAAACAGG
This 252-nucleotide ribosomal RNA is filed under the name uncultured bacterium. Its description in RNAcentral is "partial 16S ribosomal RNA". It matches the Rfam family "Bacterial small subunit ribosomal RNA", at positions 524 to 776 of the family's 1533-position model. The record is from RNAcentral.